This 854-nucleotide ribosomal RNA is filed under the name Aspergillus fumigatus. RNAcentral's name for it is "LSU rRNA". It matches the Rfam family "Eukaryotic large subunit ribosomal RNA", at positions 72 to 940 of the family's 3401-position model. Lineage: Eukaryota; Fungi; Ascomycota; Eurotiomycetes; Eurotiales; Aspergillaceae. The record is from RNAcentral.
GGAUUGCCUCAGUAACGGCGAGUGAAGCGGCAAGAGCUCAAAUUUGAAAGCUGGCCCCUUCGGGGUCCGCGUUGUAAUUUGCAGAGGAUGCUUCGGGUGCAGCCCCCGUCUAAGUGCCCUGGAACGGGCCGUCAUAGAGGGUGAGAAUCCCGUCUGGGACGGGGUGUCUGCGUCCGUGUGAAGCUCCUUCGACGAGUCGAGUUGUUUGGGAAUGCAGCUCUAAAUGGGUGGUAAAUUUCAUCUAAAGCUAAAUACUGGCCGGAGACCGAUAGCGCACAAGUAGAGUGAUCGAAAGAUGAAAAGCACUUUGAAAAGAGAGUUAAACAGCACGUGAAAUUGUUGAAAGGGAAGCGUUUGCGACCAGACUCGCCCGCGGGGUUCAGCCGGCAUUCGUGCCGGUGUACUUCCCCGUGGGCGGGCCAGCGUCGGUUUGGGCGGCCGGUCAAAGGCCCUCGGAAUGUAUCACCUCUCGGGGUGUCUUAUAGCCGAGGGUGCAAUGCGGCCUGCCUGGACCGAGGAACGCGCUUCGGCUCGGACGCUGGCGUAAUGGUCGUAAAUGACCCGUCUUGAAACACGGACCAAGGAGUCUAACAUCUACGCGAGUGUUCGGGUGUCAAACCCGUACGCGCAGUGAAAGCGAACGGAGGUGGGAGCCCCCUCGCGGGGCGCACCAUCGACCGAUCCUGAUGUCUUCGGAUGGAUUUGAGUACGAGCGUAGCUGUGGGGACCCGAAAGAUGGUGAACUAUGCCUGAAUAGGGCGAAGCCAGAGGAAACUCUGGUGGAGGCUCGCAGCGGUUCUGACGUGCAAAUCGAUCGUCAAAUUUGGGUAUAGGGGGCGAAAGACUAAUCGAAC